AAAAGACAAGACCAAGAAAGCAGUAGUCCACAACAUUGUUGGACUUGAUCCUACCAAGCAGUUUUUACUAUACAUAGCAACCGGUGCUGAAAUUGAGAAAGACUAUAAAAUUCAGAAAAGCAUCCUUCGUGCAGUUGGUCAGAUGGAUUUACGAGCCGAUCUCAUGGAUGCAUAUAUGUAUGCGUUUAAAAGAUCUGCUUUGCAAGAGGUUCUAGAUCAAAAGGAUACUUUCCGAAGCCUAAGGCAAGAUGUGUUGCCCUAUCUUGUGCGAAGCCAGUUGAGGUCAGAAGUUUUAUCGAAUGGAACACCCCGAACAGAAGAAAAUGGGAUUGAGAAAGUUGGUUCCCAUAAGAUUCAAGUA
RNAcentral lists this unclassified non-coding RNA (361 nucleotides) under Hevea brasiliensis (rubber tree). The record is from RNAcentral. Lineage: Eukaryota; Viridiplantae; Streptophyta; Magnoliopsida; Malpighiales; Euphorbiaceae.